This is an RNA transcript of Hipposideros armiger (great roundleaf bat), 2036 nucleotides long. It is a transcript of the gene named methyltransferase 5, N6-adenosine, with no coding region annotated. The transcript is spliced from 7 exons. The record is from RefSeq and is a predicted model, not a curated record. Lineage: Eukaryota; Metazoa; Chordata; Mammalia; Chiroptera; Hipposideridae.
CCGGGGAGGCGCGAGCCGUCUCUUGUAGUUCCCCUCCUCGGUGUGUGAAGUCCUGCGGCUACUCCAGGCUAGAACCACCGCGGGUCUAGGCGGAGCCCGAGAUCGGCGCGGGAUACCCUGGAGACGGGCAGGUUAAGGACUGACCGAAGACUCCGCCCGCCCCUGGCGCAAGGAGAGCGGGACCCUUGGGCCGCUGAGUCCUUAGCGUCCUGCGUCCCCUGCCCUGCCUCUGGCCUGCGGCGUUAAAAAAAAAUGGUUGGGAGGAUGGAAAUUAAGAUUAAAUAGGUUUCUCUGCGGAUCCAGUGCCGUUAAACCCUGAGAACCCACACUUUUUUUAAAAAUGAAGAAAUUAAGGCUUAAGGAGCUAGAGAGUCGCCUGCAACAAGUGGAUGGAUUUGAAAAGCCCAAGCUACUUCUAGAACAGUAUCCGACCAGGCCGCACAUUGCAGCAUGUAUGCUCUAUACAAUUCACAAUACAUAUGAUGACAUUGAAAAUAAAGUGGUUGCAGAUCUAGGAUGCGGUUGUGGAGUGCUUAGCAUCGGAACUGCAAUGUUAGGAGCAGGGUUAUGUGUUGGAUUUGACAUAGAUGAAGAUGCAUUGGAAAUAUUUAAUAAGAAUGUGGAAGAAUUUGAGUUAACAAAUGUUGACAUGGUUCAAUGUGAUGUGUGCUUAUUAUCUAACAGACUAUCCAAGUCAUUUGAUACAGUAAUUAUGAAUCCUCCCUUUGGGACCAAAAAUAAUAAAGGGACAGAUAUGGCAUUUCUGAAGACUGCUUUGGAAAUGGCAAGAACAGCAGUAUAUUCUCUCCACAAAUCCUCAACUAGAGAGCACAUUCAAAAGAAAGCUGAAGAAUGGAAAAUCAAGAUAGAUGUUAUUGCAGGAGAUAUAGUCAUCCACACUGUGUCAUGCUUGAUUCAUUUUUAUUAGUGAAUUUACAAACAUCAAAAUGGGGAAAGCAUACAACUAGAAGCUAACUAAUCCAAAUAAUUCUGAAAAGCCUGAAAUAAGAGUACGUACAUACAAUAAGGGGGAAAUGUGUUUUACACAAUAAACUAUGGAUUAGCACUAUGGUGUUAACCACAUAACUAGAUCUUUUACUGUUCAUUAUAAUUAGUAAUGUGUAAAAGGUCAGUCUUCCUAUUAUAUUCAGUAGUGUCAUUCUUUACUUAAGGUAUUAUAUGCAACGUGUAGUACCCUAGAAUAGUUUAGUAGUAUACCAAACCAUGGCCUUGCUACUUCAAAUGUGGCCUUAGAUCAUCAGCAUUGACAUCCCUUGGAAAUGUUAGACUUGCAGAAUUUCAGGCUCCCCCCAUGCCUACUGAAUUAUCAUCUGCACCUCAACAAGAUUUGACUUGAAGGUGAUUCGACUGCACAUUAAAAUUUGAGACCUGUGACUCAGAAUUUAUGUUGUAAAAUAUGAAGAGUAGACAGACUCAUUGUCAUCCCUUUAAAAUGGUUAGUAGUAAGUUUGGAGAACCUACAUUAUUUAGAAUAUGAAAAAUAGGUUUUCAUUUGAGAGCUUAGUAGGAAAAGUAAUUAUCUACUUACUACCAUUACUAAAAUCGACGACAAAAUUUUUAAGUAAACAUAGUUAUGAAAUUGCUGGUUAUAGAUUAGGAAAUUAAAACUAGGAAGGUACUAUCAUUUUCAUACGAUAUACUUUUUUAUCCACUUGUUAUCUUUCUAAACUCUUCCCCAUAACCUCAAAUUUUGGUAUAAAAGAUCAAAACAGCAGAAAUGGCAGUCUCAGUUUGCCAUGGCUAAUCUUGGGAGUACAUCAAGUCAGCCCUUGAAUACCAAGUUAAAGUGACGGGUCUAAAAUGUUUGGUUUACCAGCAUUUAGUGCUUUCUUAAUUUGUGGUUUUUUUAGUCAAGGGUGGUAAAUGCUUGGAAAUGUAAUUUUUAUCUACUUAGACGGCUUUUGUUUUAUAGAGCUGCGAUAUGACCUGCCAGCAUCAUACAAAUUUCAUAAAAAGAAAUCAGUGGACAUUGAAGUAGACCUAAUUCGGUUUUCUUUUUAAAAGCUUCCAAAGAC